UGCAGAAUCCCGUGAACCAUCGAGUCUUUGAACGCAAGUUGCGCCUGAAGCCAUCAGGCUGAGGGCACGUCUGCCUGGGCGCCAAACACCGAUGCCCCCCCAAAUCCCCUCGUCACUCUCCCCUGAGUGCCCGGGGAGUGUGGGGGUCGGAUGAUGGCCUCCCGUGUCUUGGCUCGCGGUUGGCCCAAAGUCGAGUCCUCGGUCACGGUUACCGUGGUGACAGGUGGUUGUCGGUCGCUCGGUACCCCGUCACGUGCGCCGGACACGAAUCGAGACUCUCUUGAUUACCCCAACGCAUCCCCGUUUGGGUGCCUCUGAUGUGACCCCAGGUCAGGCGGGGCUACCCGCUGAGUUUAAGCAUAUCAAUAAGCGGAGGAAAAGAAACUUACGAGGAUUCCCCUAGUAACGGCGAGCGAACCGGGAAAAGCCCAGGUUGAGAAUCGAUCGCCCCCGGUGUUCGA
RNAcentral lists this ribosomal RNA (461 nucleotides) under Morus alba (white mulberry). RNAcentral describes it as "eukaryotic LSU rRNA". The stretch from base 321 to 461 matches the Rfam family "Eukaryotic large subunit ribosomal RNA", at positions 1 to 141 of the family's 3401-position model. The record is from RNAcentral. Lineage: Eukaryota; Viridiplantae; Streptophyta; Magnoliopsida; Rosales; Moraceae.